This 47-nucleotide non-coding RNA is filed under the name Emiliania huxleyi. The record is from RNAcentral. Lineage: Eukaryota; Haptophyta; Isochrysidales; Noelaerhabdaceae.
GGUCGAGGAGCACCCCGCGUCGCGCACUCGUCCCAACCGGGGGCCGC